UGUGGCCCUCCGGACUACAGGAGAAAUUCUGGAGCAGGGGCUUGGGUAGGCAGCAGGAGUCCAGUGGAAUCAGGAAUAGUUGAUGGAGCUGAGGGACCACUAGAGGGCGCAUCUGGAGCAGGUGAAAACAGGUGUAGGUUCUGCGACGCCCCUGACAGUGGUGAUGGCAGCAGCACUCUGGAACCUGAGAGGAGGAGAGGUAGCAACAGCAGUUCCGGUUGUGACGCCAGCAGCCCUGGCCCUGGUGGCUGUGGAAUCUGGAAGGGUGGGCCCCCCAUGACUGCAAUGGCAGUGCUUGGAUUGGCUGUGGGGGUGCUGAGGCCAGCUGUGCUGCUUGUAAGGAGGAGGCAGGUCAGACUCCGGGUCUUUAGGCAGCCUGAGACCAUCCAGACCUCCUCCUCACAUCACAGUGGGUUUCACAGCGCAGAGCAUUGACAACGGUGGUCUUUAAUAAAGCUGCUCCCAGGCUGGGGAUUUAGCUCAGUGGCACAGCGCCUGCCUGGCAAGCACAACGUCGUGAGUUCGAUUCCCGGUACCGGAAAAAAACAAAAACAAAAAACAAAAAAAACCUGAAAGCUUUGGGCUGGGGAUUUAGCCCAGCGGCACAGUGCCUGCCUGGCAAGCACAAGGUCAUGAGUUCAGUUCCCGGUACUGAAAAAAAAAAAAAAAAAAAAAAGCUUCUCCCACCUGUGCUUCUGUCCCGGCUGGUGGGUUCUUCUGUCCCCUCCAGCAUCUGCAUGUUGAAAGCAGCUUACAGCCACCUUUUCAGUGCAUGACAUUUUCCAUCUUACUGAAUAACUACAUAGUGAGACCCUGUCUCAAAACAAAACAAAAACCAAGACAUGACAAAAGAGUGAAUGAGAACAUGUUUUAGAAUUCCAAUUUAGCAGUAACAAUGAAUAAACAAUAAAGCUAUCCAGUAGAGUAAAAUACCUAGUCAGCAGACCCUGCGCACCCUCUUCUGGACAGACAACCUGCUCUUCAAGGGAAAUUGAUUUCUAACCAUCAGAAAGUUGCCCGGUGAGUAGCGAAUCCAGUUCUGAGGGUAGACUUGCAGGUUUCCGGUCCGCUAUUCCUCAGAUCAUUACCGCAGUAACUGCUAGCAGAGUGUGCUUCACCAAAACGUCCCCCGUGGAGACAGUCUAUGCACACUUCCCAGUGAGUGCUGAACACCACACAAGGGCGAAGUUAAAUAUUUAUUCACUAUUCGGGGACUGGACGGCAGGAAAGAGCGCUUGGAAAAACCACCAGUCCCCAGGUUAGAGGGCCCUCACUGAGUCCUUUGAUGUGAGCUUGUUCUGUGCAUUAAUGACAUGACAGUUUACUAAAUCAGCAUUCUUCUAGAAGGCCAGACUUUCUAGGAAAGAAGCUAUA
RNAcentral lists this long non-coding RNA (1374 nucleotides) under Chinchilla lanigera (long-tailed chinchilla). Its description in RNAcentral is "lncRNA (ENSCLAG00000022499.1)". Lineage: Eukaryota; Metazoa; Chordata; Mammalia; Rodentia; Chinchillidae. The record is from RNAcentral.